Molecule: ribosomal RNA, 115 nt
Filed under: Acanthosepion pharaonis
Lineage: Eukaryota; Metazoa; Mollusca; Cephalopoda; Sepiida; Sepiidae
Source: RNAcentral
UUACGGUCAAAUCACGCUGAAAACACCGGUUCUCGUUCGAUCACCGAAGUUAAGCAUCGUAGAGCCAGGUCAGUACUUAGAUGGGGGACCGCUUGGGAACACCUGAUACUGUAAG